RNAcentral lists this ribosomal RNA (468 nucleotides) under uncultured bacterium. Its description in RNAcentral is "partial 16S ribosomal RNA". It matches the Rfam family "Bacterial small subunit ribosomal RNA", at positions 28 to 507 of the family's 1533-position model. The record is from RNAcentral.
GACGAACGCUGGCGGCGUGCUUAACACAUGCAAGUCGAACGGAAAGGCCCUGCUUUUGUGGGGUGCUCGAGUGGCGAACGGGUGAGUAACACGUGAGUAACCUGCCCUUGACUUUGGGAUAACUUCAGGAAACUGGGGCUAAUACCGGAUAGGAGCUCCUGCUGCAUGGUGGGGGUUGGAAAGUUUCGGCGGUUGGGGAUGGACUCGCGGCUUAUCAGCUUGUUGGUGGGGUAGUGGCUUACCAAGGCUUUGACGGGUAGCCGGCCUGAGAGGGUGACCGGCCACAUUGGGACUGAGAUACGGCCCAGACUCCUACGGGAGGCAACAGUGGGGAAUAAUGCACAAUGGGCGGAAGCCUGAUGCAGCAACGCCGCGUGCGGGAUGACGGCCUUCGGGUUGUAAACCGCUUUCGCCUGUGACGGAGCGUGAGUGACGGUAAUGGGUAAAGAAGCACCGGCUAACUACGUG